RNAcentral lists this ribosomal RNA (467 nucleotides) under uncultured bacterium. RNAcentral describes it as "partial 16S ribosomal RNA". It matches the Rfam family "Bacterial small subunit ribosomal RNA", at positions 28 to 507 of the family's 1533-position model. The record is from RNAcentral.
GACGAACGCUGGCGGCGUGCUUAACACAUGCAAGUCGAACGGAAAGGCCCUGCUUUUGUGGGGUGCUCGAGUGGCGAACGGGUGAGUAACACGUGAGUAACCUGCCCUUGACUUUGGGAUAACUUCAGGAAACUGGGGCUAAUACCGGAUAGGAGCUCCUGCUGCAUGGUGGGGGUUGGAAAGUUUCGGCUGUUGGGGAUGGACUCGCGGCUUAUCAGCUUGUUGGUGGGGUAGUGGCUUACCAAGGCUUUGACGGGUAGCCGGCCUGAGAGGGUGACCGGCCACAUUGGGACUGAGAUACGGCCCAGACUCCUACGGGAGGCAGCAGUGGGGAAUAUUGCACAAUGGCGGAAGCCUGAUGCAGCAACGCCGCGUGCGGGAUGACGGCCUUCGGGUUGUAAACCGCUUUCGCCUGUGACGAAGCGUGAGUGACGGUAAUGGGUAAAGAAGCACCGGCUAACUACGUG